This 406-nucleotide ribosomal RNA is filed under the name uncultured bacterium. RNAcentral describes it as "partial 16S ribosomal RNA". It matches the Rfam family "Bacterial small subunit ribosomal RNA", at positions 30 to 526 of the family's 1533-position model. The record is from RNAcentral.
AUUGCACGCUGGCGGCAGGCUUAACACAUGCAAGUCGAGCGAGCGGCGGACGGGUGAGUAACUUCUGGGUAUCUGCCUGAUGGAGGGGGAUAACCACUGGAAACGGUAGUUAAUACCGCAUACCAUCAGAUGUGCCAAGCUGGGAUUAGCUAGUGGGUGGGGUAAUGGUUCACCUAGGCGACGAUCCCUAGCUGGUCUGAGAGGAUGUCCAGACACACGGGAACGGAGACACGGUCCAGACUCCGACGGGAAGAAGCAGUGGGGAAUAUUGCACAAUGGGCGCAGUCCGGAAAAAGCCAUGACGCGUGUGUGAAGAAGGCCUUCGGGUUGUAAAGCACGUUCAGGGAGGAGGCGUUACUCGCAGAAGAAGCACCGGCUAACUCCGUGCCAGCAGCCGCGGUAAUUC